This 648-nucleotide ribosomal RNA is filed under the name uncultured bacterium. Its description in RNAcentral is "bacterial SSU rRNA". It matches the Rfam family "Bacterial small subunit ribosomal RNA", at positions 232 to 885 of the family's 1533-position model. The record is from RNAcentral.
CGCGGCCUAUCAGCUUGUUGGUGGGGUAACGGCCUACCAAGGCAACGACGGGUAGCUGGUCUGAGAGGACGAUCAGCCACACUGGCACUGAGAUACGGGCCAGACUCCUACGGGAGGCAGCAGUGAGGAAUAUUGCGCAAUGGGCGAAAGCCUGACGCAGCGACGCCGCGUGGGGGAAGAAGGUUUUCGGAUUGUAAACCCCUUUUAGGAGGAAAGAUGGGGUGGGUUUCCACCCGGACGGUACCUCCAGAAAAAGCCACGGCUAACUUCGUGCCAGCAGCCGCGGUAAUACGAAGGUGGCGAGCGUUGUUCGGAUUUACUGGGCGUAAAGAGCACGUAGGCGGUUUAGUAAGCCCCUUGGGAAAGCUAUGGGCUUAACCCAUAAAGGUCGAGGGGGACUGCUAAGCUAGAGGGCGGGAGAGGAGCGCGGAAUUUCCGGUGUAGCGGUGAAAUGCGUAGAUAUCGGGAAGAAGGCCGGUGGCGAAGGCGGCGCUCUGGAACGUCUCUGACGCUGAGGUGCAAAAGCGUGGGGAGCAAACAGGAUUAGAUACCCUGGUAGUCCACGCCGUAAACGAUGGGCACUAAGUGUCGGCAGGUUACUGCCGGUGCCGCAGUUAACGCAGUAAGUGCCCCGCCUGGGGAGUACGG